Bradysia coprophila is the source of this 432-nucleotide long non-coding RNA. The record is from RefSeq and is a predicted model, not a curated record. NCBI's taxonomy places the organism in Eukaryota, Metazoa, Arthropoda, Insecta, Diptera, Sciaridae.
CUCAUUUGAUAUACUUCCGGAUCCCGUUCACGCUCAUGUUUCAACGAAAAAGAAAUCCAAAACGACGGUAUCACGAUGGGUAAAUCGUUACGUUCAUGAAAAUCAUUUGGAUCGGCGUCCUCAGCCGGGUCAACCAGAGAAAUUGGAUGCAGUUACGAAAAACGCAGUUAUUCAAAAAAUUGUUGACAAUCCCUUUUCAAAUGCUGCAAUUGUGGGUCGAGAAUAUCAGGUAAACAAGAACACUAUUCGACGCGUCUGGAAACAGGCAGAAAUUUUCCAUGGUGUAGCUGCAAAAAAGCCGAAAUUGACACCGGAACAUUGUCAGGCCAGGCUUCACUUUGCUGUGUCUAAUCUAUACAGAGAUUGGAGUAACGUCAUCUUCAGUGACGAAAAGACGUUUCAAACAGAUCGGCACCAAAAACUACAUGUAUA